GGCAUGCAGUCGAACGCGAAAGCCCCUUCGGGGGUGAGUAGAGUGGCGAACGGGUGAGUAACACGUGGGUAACCUGCCCCUCGCAGGGGGAUAACCGGGGGAAACCCCGGCUAAUACCCCGUACGCUUGCUGGGGCGCAUGCUCCGGCAAGGAAAGGUAGCUUCGGCCAUCCGGCGAGGGAGGGGCCCGCGGCCCAUUAGCUAGUUGGUGGGGUAACGGCCCACCAAGGCGACGAUGGGUAGCUGGCCUGAGAGGGUGGUCAGCCACACUGGGACUGAGACACGGCCCAGACUCCUACGGGAGGCAGCAGCCAGGAAUCUUGCGCAAUGGGCGAAAGCCUGACGCAGCAACGCCGCGUGGGCGAUGAAGGCCUUCGGGUCGUAAAGCCCUGUUGUCGGGGACGAAGGGCGAAGGGUUAAUAGCCCCUAGCCUGACGGUACCCGACGAGGAAGCCCCGGCUAACUACGUGCCAGCAGCCGCGGUAAUACGUAGGGGGCGAGCGUUGUCCGGAAUCAUUGGGCGUAAAGAGCGUGUAGGCGGCCCGGUAAGUCCGCUGUGAAAACCCGGGGCUCAACCCCGGGCGUGCAGUGGAAACUGCCGGGCUAGAGGGCGGCAGAGGCGAGUGGAAUUCCCGGUGUAGCGGUGAAAUGCGCAGAUAUCGGGAGGAACACCGGUAGCGAAGGCGGCUCGCUGGGCCGUUCCUGACGCUGAGACGCGAAAGCUAGGGGAGCGAACAGGAUUAGAUACCCUGGUAGUCCUAGCCGUAAACGAUGGGCACUAGGUGUGGGGGGAGUCGAAUCCCUCCGUGCCGCAGCCAACGCGUUAAGUGCCCCGCCUGGGGAGUACGGGCCGCAAGGCUA
Molecule: ribosomal RNA, 860 nt
Filed under: uncultured Actinomycetes bacterium
Lineage: Bacteria; Bacillati; Actinomycetota; Actinomycetes
Description: bacterial SSU rRNA
Rfam family: Bacterial small subunit ribosomal RNA
Source: RNAcentral